CUACCAUCAAAGAUUAAAUAAAACAAUAAUGAAGUAUACAGAGGAAAUCCUAAACACAUUUAUUGUAAUUUUUUGCAACCUUUUUAUACUUUUGUUUGUUUGUUUUUUAUUAUUUAGACAACACAUACUCUGUCCAAGAUCCAAAGCCAUCAGCAGAUCAAAGAAAAAUGCAGACACCAGUUUUUCCAAUAAGCAUGUCCCAUGUAAAUGAGCAAGAAGAUGCUUGGGGGGACCACCCAUCGAGCUAUCGAGAAGACACAACUUCUGAGCUGAGACCUUCAAGUACCCUGG
Molecule: non-coding RNA, 291 nt
Organism: Danio rerio (zebrafish)
Lineage: Eukaryota; Metazoa; Chordata; Actinopteri; Cypriniformes; Danionidae
Source: RefSeq, a predicted model, not a curated record